AGCGAACGCUGGCGGCAGGCUUAACACAUGCAAGUCGAGCGGGCACCUUCGGGUGUCAGCGGCAGACGGGUGAGUAACACGUGGGAACGUACCCUUCGGUUCGGAAUAACGCUGGGAAACUAGCGCUAAUACCGGAUACGCCCUUAUGGGGAAAGGUUUACUGCCGAAGGAUCGGCCCGCGUCUGAUUAGCUAGUUGGUGGGGUAACGGCCUACCAAGGCGACGAUCAGUAGCUGGUCUGAGAGGAUGAUCAGCCACACUGGGACUGAGACACGGCCCAGACUCCUACGGGAGGCAGCAGUGGGGAAUAUUGGGCAAUGGGCGCAAGCCUGAUCCAGCCAUGCCGCGUGAGUGAUGAAGGCCUUAGGGUUGUAAAGCUCUUUUGUCCGGGACGAUAAUGACGGUACCGGAAGAAUAAGCCCCGGCUAACUUCGUG
This 435-nucleotide ribosomal RNA is filed under the name uncultured bacterium. RNAcentral describes it as "partial 16S ribosomal RNA". It matches the Rfam family "Bacterial small subunit ribosomal RNA", at positions 29 to 507 of the family's 1533-position model. The record is from RNAcentral.